UAAGAGGACACCAAGGAUCACGCUUUGCCUGC
Molecule: non-coding RNA, 32 nt
Filed under: Macaca fascicularis (crab-eating macaque)
Lineage: Eukaryota; Metazoa; Chordata; Mammalia; Primates; Cercopithecidae
Also listed under: 1 other name
Source: RNAcentral